UGGGGAAUAUUGGACAAUGGGCGCAAGCCUGAUCCAGCCAUGCCGCGUGAGUGACGAAGGUCUUCGGAUUGUAAAGCUCUUUUGGCGGGGACGAUAAUGACGGUACCCGCAGAAUAAGCCCCGGCAAACUUCGUGCCAGCAGCCGCGGUAAUACGAAGGGGGCUAGCGUUGUUCGGAAUUACUGGGCGUAAAGCGCACGUAGGCGGAUUGUUAAGUCAGAGGUGAAAUCCCGGAGCUCAACUUCGGAACUGCCUUUGAUACUGGCAAUCUAGAGUCCGGAAGAGGUUAGUGGAAUUCCCAGUGUAGAGGUGAAAUUCGUAGAUAUUGGGAAGAACACCAGUGGCGAAGGCGGCUAACUGGUCCGGUACUGACGCUGAGGUGCGAAAGCGUGGGGAGCAAACAGGAUUAGAUACCCCAGUAGUCCCUGAGCGGGCUGGCAAGGCGCAU
Molecule: ribosomal RNA, 447 nt
Filed under: uncultured bacterium
Lineage: Bacteria
Description: bacterial SSU rRNA
Rfam family: Bacterial small subunit ribosomal RNA
Source: RNAcentral